RNA transcript from Brassica napus (rape), 2083 nucleotides. It is a transcript of the gene named NKAP family protein-like, with no coding region annotated. The transcript is spliced from 3 exons. NCBI's taxonomy places the organism in Eukaryota, Viridiplantae, Streptophyta, Magnoliopsida, Brassicales, Brassicaceae. The record is from RefSeq and is a predicted model, not a curated record.
UGAUACAGUAAAUUUCUUCAUCUUCAAAUUGACAUAGUCAAUUAUGAUUUUGUAGUUUCUAAAAUUAGUAUAAAAAUAUGCAAAUGGCUGAUCACGUUAAUUUCGUUGACUUUGCUCUAUUUUUUGACAAGUUUAAUAACUCAAACUAUUUUUAUCUUUUCUAUUGUGUAUAUAUAUUAUAAGCGUUAGGAACAAAUGUUUUUAACAAAAACACAAAUCAUUGUUUAUGCUAUCUCUUAUAAGAUAUUGAACCAUGAAGUCUCCUAUUUUAUUCAUUGUUUCUUGUGUUGUUUUGAUGCUCGUUUUGAGUUAUCCUGAAGAAGCAAAAGCUGCUUCUAACAGGUGUCAGCAGAGAAACUUUUUUCCUGGGAAAUGUGGAAAUGAUGGAAUACAAAGUUGCCUCAGGGAUUUCAAGAAAAAGACCAAGAAAAGCCACAUUAUUGAUCAAUGUAGUAAAUGUGAGAACCACAAGUCCCCUAGUGGUUUAGAACAACGUCUAUGCCAUUGCAGUUACCCUUCCGCUUCUCCUUGCAUAUGAAUUCAUACAUGGAUCAAUUAUGGCAUCCAAUUUAAAAGGAUAUAUUUUAAUUUUGUUUUCUUAAUAAUAUUUAUAGAUGAAUAAAUUUUAUAAAGAUUUUAAUAGAAAAUUAUAUUUGUUGGAAAUUUUUAGUUAUGAUACUUUGACAGCAUUAUGUUUGGAUCUAAAAAGUUUUUUAAAAGAUAAUUUUCAUUUAAUCAUAUGAUUGGUGAUGGUUAGUUGAUGGAACUAAAAUUUUUACGAGAAUCAAUACCAGAAGAAGCUAGUAAUAACCAUAUAGAAGUAGUUAAUUUAUUUAAAAAUUAGAGAUUGUUAUCAAAAUACAUAAAUGGCGUAUGGCAUAUUGUUUACUAUUCUAAUAUUGAUCUCUACAACUGAAAGAAGCUUUUUAAAAUUGAAACUGAUAAAUUAUAUGUAGUCUAAUCAAUGUUCUCUCCAGAGCACCUUUUACCUCACCUUUUAAAAUGAUUGACAUGUAAAAAUCCAAUCUGCUUAUUUUUAAAAUGAUUGACAUGUAAAAAUCUUGAAGAAGCAAUCUGCUUAUCAACACGUCAAUUCUUAUUCAAAUCGCAUCUCCGACUCCUCCUCCACUGUCUCCUCCUCUCCACGCUUCUCAAGACGACGCCAUGAUCGAGCUGAAAGAUAGGGGACGAGGAACAAGUAAGGAGAAGAAAAGAAGCACAAGUAGUACAAAGAAGCGAGGACAUAGGAGUAAGAGCAGCGACAUUAGUGCUUCUGGGGAAGAACGUAGCAGGUCAAAGAGCAGGAGGCGGAAGAAGCUGUCAGGCGAUGGUUCUGGCACUGAUCUGAAGGCGAAACUUGAAGAAUCUGUUAAGGAGCCUGAGCUUGACGAAGAGGAGAUGAAUAAGUUCUAAGAGAUGGUUAAUGAAUCAAAGAAGAAAUCUUUAGCUCCUGAAGAUGAAGAAGAAGAAGCUGAGGUGGGCCCAAUGCCGUUACCUAAAGCUGAAGGACACAUCAGUUACGGUGGUGCGUUAAGACCCGGUGAAGGACACGCUAUAUCACAGUACGUUCAGCAAGGGAAACAUAUCCCACGUAGAGGAGAAGUGGUUCUUAACGCUGAUGAGAUUCAGAGGUUUGAGGAUCUCGGGUAUGUCAUCAUCAAAGGAUGAAUGCUAUUCGUAUCAGGAAGGAGAACCAGGUUUACAGUGCUGAAGACAAACGUGCGUUGGCUAUGUUUAACUACGAGGAGAAGGCUAAGGUGAUGUCUGAUCUUUCGAGGCUGGUGCAGCGCCAUAUGGGAGAUGAGUUGGGUCCGAAUCAUGACCCUUUUGGUGCUGGAAAGGCUGAUGGAGCUGACGACCGAAUGGGGGGACAUACAGGUCUGCUUUUGAUGCUUCAUACUACUUCUUUGUCUUUCAGAUAUCUUUGGUUAUGUUUUUUUUACAAACGUAUGUUUCUUCAUCGUCUUUGUGUGUAGUUUGUGACCGUGUUGUAGAGACGUUUUGCUAUCUUGUUUUGGGUUUUAAUAUCGAAGGAGAUAUAAACCUGUAAUUAGGUUUUGCUUAUUGCGGCACUUAUCGUUCA